This 254-nucleotide ribosomal RNA is filed under the name uncultured bacterium. RNAcentral's name for it is "partial 16S ribosomal RNA". It matches the Rfam family "Bacterial small subunit ribosomal RNA", at positions 524 to 776 of the family's 1533-position model. The record is from RNAcentral.
GACGUAGGGGGCCAGCGUUGUUCGGAAUUACUGGGUGUAAAGAGCUCGUAGGCGGCUCGGUAAGUCAGGUGUGAAAACCCUAGGCUCAACCUAGAGACGCCACCUGAUACUGCUGUGGCUAGAGUCCGGUAGGGGAGCAUGGAAUUCCUGGUGUAGCGGUGAAAUGCGCAGAUAUCAGGAGGAACACCAGUGGCGAAGGCGGUGCUCUGGGCCGGAACUGACGCUGAGGAGCGAAAGCGUGGGGAGCAAACAGG